RNAcentral lists this ribosomal RNA (253 nucleotides) under uncultured bacterium. Its description in RNAcentral is "partial 16S ribosomal RNA". It matches the Rfam family "Bacterial small subunit ribosomal RNA", at positions 524 to 776 of the family's 1533-position model. The record is from RNAcentral.
GACGAACCGUGCGAACGUUGUUCGGAAUCACUGGGCUUAAAGGGUGCGUAGGCGGCGCAGUAAGUUGGGUGUGAAAUCCCUCGGCUUAACCGAGGAAUUGCGCCCAAAACUACUGUGCUCGAGGGAGAUAGAGGUGAGCGGAACUUAGGGUGGAGCGGUGAAAUGCGUUGAUAUCCUAAGGAACACCGGUGGCGAAAGCGGCUCACUGGAUCUCUUCUGACGCUGAGGCACGAAAGCUAGGGUAGCAAACGGG